GAUGAACGCUGGCUACAGGCUUAACACAUGCAAGUCGAGGGGAAACGGCAUUGAGUGCUUGCACUGAAUGGACGUCGACCGGCGCACGGGUGAGUAACGCGUAUCCAACCUUCCCGUUACUGCGGGAUAACCUGCCGAAAGGCAGACUAAUACCGCAUGUUCUUCGAUGACGGCAUCAGAUUCGAAGCAAAGAUCCGUCGGUAACGGAGGGGGAUGCGUCUGAUUAGCUAGUUGGCGGGGCGACGGCCCACCAAGGCGACGAUCAGUAGGGGUUCUGAGAGGAAGGUCCCCCACAUUGGAACUGAGACACGGUCCAAACUCCUACGGGAGGCAGCAGUGAGGAAUAUUGGUCAAUGGGCGGAAGCCUGAACCAGCCAAGUAGCGUGCAGGAUGACGGCCCUACGGGUUGUAAACUGCUUUUAUGCGGGGAUAAAGUGAGGGACGUGUCCCUUUUUGCAGGUACCGCAUGAAUAAGGACCGGCUAAUUCCGUGCCAGCAGCCGCGGUAAUACGGAAGGUCCGGGCGUUAUCCGGAUUUAUUGGGUUUAAAGGGAGCGUAGGCCGGGGAUUAAGUGUGUUGUGAAAUGUAGGCGCCCAACGUCUGACUUGCAGCGCAUACUGGUUCCCUUGAGUACGCGCAACGCCGGCGGAAUUCGUCGUGUAGCGGUGAAAUGCUUAGAUAUGACGAAGAACCCCGAUUGCGAAGGCAGCCGGCGGGAGCGCAACUGACGCUGAAGCUCGAAGGUGCGGGUAUCGAACAGG
Molecule: ribosomal RNA, 761 nt
Filed under: uncultured Prevotella sp.
Lineage: Bacteria; Pseudomonadati; Bacteroidota; Bacteroidia; Bacteroidales; Prevotellaceae
Description: bacterial SSU rRNA
Rfam family: Bacterial small subunit ribosomal RNA
Source: RNAcentral